CUCCCUAAAAACGCAGCAGCACUCAGUUUCUCUUCCUCUCCACCAACCCGUGAGCUCUUCUCCCUCUCAACUCUCAUCUCUUCUUCACACAAGCUCGGAUUAGCAUGGGAAUGGGCUGAGCUCCUGUGAAGGACAAAGAGUAACGGUUUCAUGGGCUGAAAACAAUAGCUUGAGCUUGGAUCAUGGGUCUUGCUUCCAAGUGAAAGUUCCAUCAUCUACAAGACUAAAGUAGUGAUUAUCAACUUCAAAGGGGUUUAAUAUACCGAUUAUUCUAAGAUGUGGAUACUACCACAACCGUGUAGAUGAUGUUCCUUUGACUGCAGGUACUUCGGUAUAGUUGAUGGGUUGGUAGCAGUGUACUUGGGAUAUUAUGACUGAAGCUCGCCGCGACGGUUGUAAUUGUCGGACCACGGGUUGUCCACUAUUUUUUUAGGUCUGGUAUGGCUUGUGACGCUUGUGUCACUUAUUCUUUGUUAAGCCAUUAUUGUUAUGUAAAUAUUGUGUUAAUAAGACUCAAGCAGAUAGAUGUUAAAUGACUCUUGUUGUAAUUUAUUUGUGAUAGAUGUGUAAAUUGUAAUUUCCGCUAUUCGAGUUUAUG
This is a long non-coding RNA of Alnus glutinosa, 598 nucleotides long. RefSeq lists it as uncharacterized. Lineage: Eukaryota; Viridiplantae; Streptophyta; Magnoliopsida; Fagales; Betulaceae. The record is from RefSeq and is a predicted model, not a curated record. The transcript is spliced from 3 exons.